RNAcentral lists this signal recognition particle RNA (279 nucleotides) under Saimiri boliviensis boliviensis (Bolivian squirrel monkey). RNAcentral's name for it is "Metazoan signal recognition particle RNA (ENSSBOG00000009085.1)". It matches the Rfam family "Metazoan signal recognition particle RNA". Rfam says of the family: The signal recognition particle (SRP) is a universally conserved ribonucleoprotein. It is involved in the co-translational targeting of proteins to membranes. The eukaryotic SRP consists of a 300-nucleotide 7S RNA and six proteins: SRPs 72, 68, 54, 19, 14, and 9. The record is from RNAcentral. Lineage: Eukaryota; Metazoa; Chordata; Mammalia; Primates; Cebidae.
GUUGGGUGUGGAGGCGCAUGCCCGUACUCGGGAGGCUGAGGUUGAUCACUUGAAGCCAGGAGUUCUGGGCUGUAGUGCGCUAUGCCAAUUGGGUGUCUGCACUAAGUUCGGCAUCAAUAUGGUGACCUCCUGGGAGCGGGAGACCACCAGGUUGCCUAAGGAGGGAUGAACCUGCCCAGGUCGGAAACAAAGUGGUCAAAACUCCCAUGCUGAUCAGUACUGGGAUCGAGCCUGUGAAUAGUCACUGCACUCCAGGCUGGGCAAUAUAGCCAGAUCUCU